RNAcentral lists this ribosomal RNA (250 nucleotides) under Bacillota bacterium. RNAcentral describes it as "partial 16S ribosomal RNA". It matches the Rfam family "Bacterial small subunit ribosomal RNA", at positions 1 to 234 of the family's 1533-position model. Lineage: Bacteria; Bacillati; Bacillota. The record is from RNAcentral.
UUCAUGGAGAGUUUGAUCCUGGCUCAGGACGAACGCUGGCGGCGUGCUUAAUACAUGCAAGUCGAGCGAGGUUACUGUUUCGGAUCCCUUCGGGGUGAAGAAGCUUUAACCUAGCGGCGGACGGGUGAGUAACGCGUGGGUAACCUACCCCAAAGUCCGGGAUAACAGCGGGAAACCGCUGCUAAUACCGGAUGCCUUUACCUUGGGGCAUCUUGAGGUAAAGAAAGGCAACGCUUUGGGAUGGGCCCGC